Molecule: ribosomal RNA, 292 nt
Filed under: uncultured bacterium
Lineage: Bacteria
Description: partial 16S ribosomal RNA
Rfam family: Bacterial small subunit ribosomal RNA
Source: RNAcentral
GUGCCAGCAGCCGCGGUAAGACGAACCGUCCAAACGUUAUUCGGAAUUACUGGGCUUAAAGGGUGCGUAGGCGGCGAGGAAAGUAGGGUGUGAAAUCCCUCGGCUUAACCGAGGAACUGCGCUCUAAACUACCUUGCUCGAGGGAGACAGAGGUGAGCGGAACUUAGGGUGGAGCGGUGAAAUGUGUUGAUAUCCUAAGGAACACCGGUGGCGAAGGCGGCUCACUGGGUCUCUUCUGACGCUGAGGCACGAAAGCUAGGGUAGCGAACGGGAUUAGAAACCCCUGUAGUCC